CAGGAUUAGAUACCCUGGUAGUCCACGCCCUAAACGAUGAAUGUUAGUCGUCGGGUAGCUAGUCUAUUCGGUGAUGCAGCUAACGCAUUAAACAUUCCGCCUGGGGAGUACGGUCGCAAGAUUAAAACUCAAAGGAAUAGACGGGGACCCGCACAAGUGGUGGAGCAUGUGGUUUAAUUCGAAGAUACGCGAAGAACCUUACCUAGCCUUGACAUAUUUUAGAACUCACCAGAGAUGGAGAGGUGCCUUCGGGAGCUAAUUUACAGGUGCUGCACGGCUGUCGUCAGCUCGUGUCGUGAGAUGUUGGGUUAAGUCCCGCAACGAGCGCAACCCUCGUCACUAGUUACUAACGAUUCGGUCGAGGACUCUAGUGAGACUGCCUUCGUAAGGAGGAGGAAGGUGAGGACGACGUCAAGUCAUCAUGGCCCUUACGGCUAGGGCAACACACGUGCUACAAUGGUUGGGACAGUGAGACGCGAUACCGCGAGGUGGAGCAAAUCUAUAAACCCAAUCUCAGUUCGGAUUGUAGUCUGCAACUCGACUACAUGAAGCUGGAAUCACUAGUAAUCGUAGAUCAGCUAUGCUACGGUGAAUACGUUCCCGGGUCUUGUACUCACCGCCCGUCACACCAUGGGAGUUGAUUUCACCCGAAGCGGGGAAGCUAAAUUGGCUACCCUCCACGGUGGAAUUAGCGACUGGGGUGAAGUCGUAACAAGGUA
Molecule: ribosomal RNA, 719 nt
Filed under: uncultured bacterium
Lineage: Bacteria
Description: bacterial SSU rRNA
Rfam family: Bacterial small subunit ribosomal RNA
Source: RNAcentral